CUACGGGGGGCUGCAGUGAGGAAUUUUGCGCAAUGGGGGGAACCCUGACGCAGCAACGCCGUGUGAGUGAAGAAGGCCUUUGGGUCGUAAAGCUCUGUCAACUGGGAAGAAGUUACUGUGCUUUAAUAGAGUGCAGUAUUGACGGUACCAGUGGAGGAAGCGUCGGGUAACUCCGUGCCAGCAGCCGCGGUAACACGGGGGACGCAAGCGUUAUUCGGAAUUAUUGGGCGUAAAGGGCGCGUAGGCGGUCUUGUCGGUCAGGUGUGAAAGCCCGGGGCUCAACCCCGGACGUGCACUUGAAACAGCAAGACUUGAGUACGGGAGAGGAAAGCGGAAUUCCUGGUGUAGAGGUGAAAUUCGUAGAUAUCAGGAGGAACACCGAUGGCGAAGGCAGCUUUCUGGACCGAAACUGACGCUGAGGCGCGAAGGCGUGGGUAGCGAACGGGAUUAGAUACCCGCGUAGUC
Molecule: ribosomal RNA, 465 nt
Filed under: uncultured bacterium
Lineage: Bacteria
Description: partial 16S ribosomal RNA
Rfam family: Bacterial small subunit ribosomal RNA
Source: RNAcentral